This 775-nucleotide ribosomal RNA is filed under the name uncultured Neocallimastigales. RNAcentral describes it as "partial large subunit ribosomal RNA". It matches the Rfam family "Eukaryotic large subunit ribosomal RNA", at positions 22 to 640 of the family's 3401-position model. The record is from RNAcentral. Lineage: Eukaryota; Fungi; Neocallimastigomycota; Neocallimastigomycetes; Neocallimastigales.
CAUAGCGACUAUCGUGGCAUAUCAAUAAGCGGAGGAAAAGAAACUAACAAGGAUUCCCUUAGUAACGGCGAGUGGAGCGGGAAGAGCUCAAAUUUGAAAUCUUCAAGGUUUUACCUUGACGAAUUGUAGUUUAAAGAAGUGUUUUCUGUUGAAGUUUUGGUAAAAGUUCUUUGGAAUAGGACAUCAUAGAGGGUGAGAAUCCCGUAUUUGACCAUUAUUUUCAGCUGUGUGAUACACUUUCAAAGAGUCGGAUUGUUUGGGAAUGCAGUCCAAAAUGGGUGGUAAAUUUCAUCUAAAGCUAAAUAUUGGCGAGAGACCGAUAGCGAACAAGUACCGUGAGGGAAAGAUGAAAAGAACUUUGAAAAGAGAGUUAAACAGUACGUGAAAUUGUCAAAAGGGAAGCGUUUGACACCAGUGUUGUUUAGUUGAAAAUCAAUUCAAUAAUUUUUGAUUUUGAGUAGUAUUGACUUCAUCAGCUUGCUGCUUUCUCUUCGGAAAUUACUGAAUGCACUUUUCAGUUAACAAGUCAACAUCAAUUUCUUUUGUUGUAAAAGGGUAAGAGGAAGGUGGCUUACGCUUCGGCGUCAAGUGUUUAUAGCCUUUUAUCCCUGCAAUCGGAGAGAUUGAGGUCUGCAGCGUAGAUCCUUCGGGGUUAGAUACAUUGGUGCUAAGCUAUAGCCUUGUAUAGACAACUUGUUGACUAUGCUCAGUCAUGUAGCUUACUCGCUGAUGCUAUUUUACCUACGCUUAGGAUGUUGAUAUGCAUGACUGAUAU